This 2663-nucleotide long non-coding RNA is filed under the name Volvox carteri. RNAcentral's name for it is "long non-coding RNA (VCAR_LNC000851)". The record is from RNAcentral. Lineage: Eukaryota; Viridiplantae; Chlorophyta; Chlorophyceae; Chlamydomonadales; Volvocaceae.
UCGGACAUCAUGUUGGGUCUUGGGGACCUGCCCGCGGUUCUUGCAGUGGCCCCGCCAGGCAAUUACUAGUUACAAGUGUCAUCAUUGACAUGGUUAACAAUCCCCCCAGUGGGGCAGGUUAGUUGGUGUCGUGGCAAGCUCAAAAAUCCAGAAGCCAUAAGCCUCCACAUAUAGAUGAAACACCGAUGCCUGCCGUGUGAAUAUAAAAAUGUCUUAUAAAUUUGCUAGAGGGAAGUAUCACGGAGCCACUUCAACGUCACAAGUCCUAAAAACGGGGAUAGAGAACCUGUAAGGGCCAUGCAGUGCUCUGCGCCCCUCCUUCCUUCUACCUUGUAGAUGCCAUGCACAGAUGCAUGCAUGGCAGAUAUCCCACAGCUAAUGACGCCGCUCCUGGAGGUCCCGCAUCCUAUCUCAGCAACCAACUGGAGCUGCGUAAGGGCCGCGGGGCCAACUUAGGGACAAUAAUGACACACGUACAUACGGCGAUGGCUUAUUUACCAGUGCUUAUAUUUUCCCUGCGUGCAUCUUUGCGGCUCACAGUUCUACUUUUCUAUCACACAUGAAGGAUGCGAUGCCCUCGUGUUUCACGUGCACCUCCAGUAACGGGCAAAAAUCCGAACACGUGGAGAGAAAACCCAGCAGCAACAGCGCAACUUGCAGUCGAAAGGGCAACACCUGCCAUCCAUAUGCUUAUUGUAUUCUGCCGGACGACCAUCGCAGCGCAACGGCAACGGUCACCAAGCCGGCAGCCGCCCACACAACCCACGGCAGCUGCGACGAUCAUAUAGAAUGAAAUCCAUGUCAACUAACACAGUGCGAUAUGUGACACCCCGCAGCAGUGCAAACCAUUCCCCCCAUUCGCGUGAGAGGCUCUCGGGCUUCAACCGCUGAAUGCAGUCCAGGACUGCAAAUGACACAUCAUACAGGCUUUGAUCAAGGGCGCUCAGAAAGGGCCCCUAACAAUAGCAAAGCCUCUGCACAUGUAAGGAAAGCUCUAGUAUGGUGUGGGACGCAGCCGCUGCUCCUAAAUGCAGACUCCACGCAACCGGGACAUUGUGGCGCAUUCACACCGAGCGUCCUUUUCCGCUCAGUUACAGCCAGGCGCUGUCCCAGCAUGGCACAGCAACACUCGUAAGCCCCUCACCCGGCACGGCAUUGGCAAUUGGCCAUUACUUAGCCAUGUCUUAACUCAGUGUCUGCCCAGUUGAAACGGGACCCGCUCACUGCAGGGGCGAUUAAUCCCAACGAUCAACCCCAGCACGAUUGCUCCCAAUCCCAACCGCUUUCUUUUGUCCUACAGCCCGCAGUAGAAUCCAUGAAUAAAUAGGAAGAAACUCUCACUCGGUGCUUUAUUUCAAAUGCUGAUCAAACUAAGACACCUAGGCGCCGGUGCAUUCGCCCGUGGCCAACAAACCUUAACUAUAAAAGAAACACGAGGGUCCACCUCGAGGAUCAACCUCGCGGUCUGAUUGGCUGUGGCAGUAACCCCAUUGACAAGCGGGGGACACACCAUGCCAUGCUCAGCCACCAGAUGCCAGAACCCAGAUCAUUAAAGAAAAACAGUCUCCGCUGCUGAUAGAAUAACAAGAAGCCGCAAUGGGCCACACACCAAUGAAUAACGCACUUCCAAAUUGAGAUGGGUAAACAUGCACCCUUACAUACAUACGUCCAUCCCCCUUGAAACCUGCCUCACACACGCUAUAAUGCCUUCCGUUCAAAUGCGUCCGAAGGGUGUCUGAAUAAGGCAGUCUAGGUUGCGUCAUGGUGUUCCAUGGCAACGGUGGGGGACAGCAAACGCCGCGUCCCAGGCACAUGGCGAACUGUAACGGUACGGAUGCAGGCACGCCAUGGAUGCAGCACCGCGCGGUCGCUGUUGCCCCUCGUUGCAUCAUAUCAGGCCGCAGCCGCCAAUAUUCCGCUCCAAUCCACUAGCCAGCAAAGGACCCCUCCCUUCAGGAUUCGUGCGUGCACCACGCUUGCAGGUCCCGGGAGCAUGCCAAGGGCAGCAACAAGAUGCCCCAGCGAUCGCCCGGAGACCCUCCACAGCGAUACACGCACCCGAAGCCGAGUUCCAGGCUCCUAGGUCCUGCCCUCCCUUCUAACUGGGCAAAACCCACGGAGCCGUGCGCUGGUGCCGAUGCUGGUGACGUGGCCAGGUUUCUCAGCUGAGGGUGCCGACUCCGAACUCACCCUCGCUCUCGCCUUCCCCGCGCCUGCCGGUUUACCCCCAUCUGAAUCGGUCUUAGGGGUCUUGUGGUUCCGCCGAGGCCAAAUGGGAUCACCCGGCCGAGGCUUUGAGACCUCGAGGCGGCAUGGCGUCGCCCUGCCCUAGUAGUAGGAAGGUGGCGAAGCCGCCCAGGCAGUUGGCACUUGCCGGCUUGCGUAAGGCGUCGCGUGCUGCGAAGCGCCGUACGGGGAAUAGGCGUAACCCUGUGGAGCUAGCGGCGGCUGCGGCCGUAGGAGUCAUCUGUUGGCUUCAUUUGCUGGCGGAGGAUAGGCGCUCGGCUGGGGUGGUGGUGGGUAGUAGGCAGGUGCGGUUGGGUAAGCAGCGAACACCGGCGGGGGUGGCUCAGGAGAAGCGACUGCCAUGUAGGGCGGCGGCAGUGCUCCGCCGUCCGGUUUCUGCAUGUUCUGAUCACCCGGAGCCACCAUGACUGCCUUCG